GGAGCCCUCCCGGGUCCUGUUUUCUCGGAGAAUUCUGCAGCCCGCGACUCAAGGCAAUUCGGUUCCACCCGAAACCUCAGCUCCAAAUGCCUUGUUUUAGAAGCUGGGGCUUUGGAGGUUCUGAGGACCGUUCCUGGGGAGGCGGGUGACAGUCUGUGAGGUUCUCGCGGCCCCUCUGGUUCCUGCACAGUUACCGAGGGAGAGGGUGCUAGAAAUGGCUUUGCUGCCGAAUGCAUUAUCUUGCCAUUUUCGUAUCCCGAUACAGCACGCACGAUCGCCUGAUCGAUCGGAAAUAGGAGGGAAAGGUAGAGUGGAAAUUGAUUUCUUGCAGAGACUCAGGCGCCGAAUGAUAGAGGGAAUAAACAUUUGCCCUGGAUAAAAAUGUUCUUGGAGAAUAGCAGCGUGUAAGGGUGAAUUUGAACUAGGGGGCUUUUAAGGAGGCAAUAUGAAGGCUUUAAGGCGCUUCAGUUCUUAUAUUCCAAACCUACACACAGGCUGUGUUCCAGCCCUAAUAAGGACCUAGAGCAGAAGUUUUUCUUCAGUGAUCUAAUUUUACCCAAAAGCUCAUUUCUGUGUUAUGUCUCUGUUUUACGCAGGCUGACAAAUGUUGGUAGGGGGAUGGGUACCCUGAAUUAAAUUUGUUACAAACUCAACCUUAACAGUUGUGAUGUAUUAGACAGCAUAUUUUUUGUGUAAGAUUUAAUAUGCUGCUAAACUUACUUACCUAAAUUGUGAUUCAAAGAAAUACAAUUGUUUUUUGAGGACCCAACUUGACUUAAGUUAGAAAGUAUAAUAUUAAAAUUUUUAUUUUAUAUGUAAAAUAAAUGCAAGAUUGAUGUUCUUUUAAAUAUUUGGAGAAUAAAAAGUACAGGAUUAAAAAAUAUUAAUUCUGUGACCCAUGUUUCCUUAACUUUAACAUAGUUAAUAGCACUUAAAGUUUAUUAAACUAGCUAAGUCUUUGAGCAUUAUACUAAAUCAUAUGAUUAAGUGUGAUGAACCUCAAAAUAGAGCCAUAGGCUUUUACAUCUGUUAGCUAGCUUUUACCUGGUUUGUACUUAGAUCUGUCUCAAAAGUUAUACAUUAUAAGUUUAUACUCAGCAUGUCUUUUCCUGGAUCAUCUCAAUGCACAUCUACAAUGGGUAUCUAAGCACAUUUUAAAUUACUGGUAAUGUUUUUAUUUACUAUCCUGGCUCCUUCUUUUUAGUGGUAUAGGUACCACGUGAUAUAUUUGUUAACUAUUAAUCCACAAAAAUGUCUAAUCUAAAAGCAAUAUUCAAGGUAUAUUGUAUUGGGGAAAUUGUGAGUCAGUUUGCUUUGUCAAUAAAAAUGUCAAUAUGCUUCAGAUUGUUUUAACCUUAAAUCAAAAUUAUAACAAAAAUGUAGAAGAUAAAUAAAUUCAAACUGUUCCCUGCAUAUGAAAGGGUCAUAUCACACACAGGUAUGCAUAUAUAAUUUCCCUCAUUAGAAUAUUUAAAUUUCUUUAGUCUCUGAUAUAUGUUUAUUUUGGUUUUAGAUCUUUCUCUUUGAAAGUGCCUAAAGUUUCUUAAAUACCUAAGUGUGCAGGCAUCUGCUUGCCUUACUCCAUAAAAUGAAUGUGCUGCUAAAUAAACUGAGCUAAUAUAUUUGAAUCUCAAAAAAAGUACAGCACUGUUCCCCACUUAUCCACAGGGGAUACAUUCUAAGACUCUCAGCAGAUGCCUAAAACCAUGGAUAGUAGAGAACCCUAAAUACGCUAUGUUUUUCCUCCACAUACACACCUAUGAUAAAGUUGAAUUUAUGUAUUAGGCACAGUAAGAGUUGAACAAUAAU
Prionailurus viverrinus (fishing cat) is the source of this 1809-nucleotide long non-coding RNA. RefSeq lists it as uncharacterized. The record is from RefSeq and is a predicted model, not a curated record. NCBI's taxonomy places the organism in Eukaryota, Metazoa, Chordata, Mammalia, Carnivora, Felidae. The transcript is spliced from 4 exons.